This 301-nucleotide ribosomal RNA is filed under the name uncultured bacterium. RNAcentral's name for it is "partial 16S ribosomal RNA". It matches the Rfam family "Bacterial small subunit ribosomal RNA", at positions 509 to 809 of the family's 1533-position model. The record is from RNAcentral.
CAGCCGCCGCGGUAAUACAGAGGGUGCAAGCGUUAAUCGGAAUUACUGGGCGUAAAGCGCGCGUAGGUGGUUUGUUAAGUUGGAUGUGAAAGCCCCGGGCUCAACCUGGGAACUGCAUCCAAAACUGGCAAGCUAGAGUACGGUAGAGGGUGGUGGAAUUUCCUGUGUAGCGGUGAAAUGCGUAGAUAUAGGAAGGAACACCAGUGGCGAAGGCGACCACCUGGACUGAUACUGACACUGAGGUGCGAAAGCGUGGGGAGCAAACAGGAUUAGAUACCCGCGUAGUCCCUGUCUCUUAUAA